CUUCGCCUCAUCUGCGACUCUGCGGCGAAGUCCUUUUUGUGGUGGGACCGCAUGUGAAACACCAGGUCUGAAGUCAUUCGGAAAGACAAGUUGCAUUUGGCGCACCAGUUCUGCACGGAAACACCGAAGGAGGAUUUCAAGGCAAUAAAAGCGAUGGUGUCAUAGAAGGUGUUCUGCAGGACGCAGGGACCGAAAGCCGCGCCGAGCGGAAGGUCUCGCGUCACAUGGACACUCGUCAGGACAUCCGCCAGGUCGCGAGCGCUGGAUGCUGCUUUGUGAGGCAGGUGCAGAUCUGGCCCAGUGCCGGCCGCAGUCCACGGCGGAACGAGAACGCGCAGCGCGAUGUCUGGUCGCGACUGGCACUUGCGCUGCUGUGUCAGACACUUAUCCGCGUCUGCCUGGGAGAGCAGCCAUGCGUGACGGCCUCUAGUCCCCCCUCACCCCCGGGUGUCGUUUUGAUUGGCGCUUCCCUCCUGUUACAGACGCCUUAAUUAUACCAGAAAGGAACCCGUUCACGGUUGAAAUUGAUUUUUAAAAUGCAGAACGACUGAGCGUAUUUCAUUACAUAUUGAACCAUAUUGCCCAAAAGUAUGCAUUCGAAUCCAUUAUUUGCAAACCAUGCGCGUAUUGUAUUAUAUUAAAAGCGUAACUUCA
This is a long non-coding RNA of Paramormyrops kingsleyae, 654 nucleotides long. RefSeq lists it as uncharacterized. The record is from RefSeq and is a predicted model, not a curated record. NCBI's taxonomy places the organism in Eukaryota, Metazoa, Chordata, Actinopteri, Osteoglossiformes, Mormyridae.